AUUGAACGCUGGCGGCAGGCCUAACACAUGCAAGUCGAACGAGUGGCGGACGGGUGAGUAAUGUCUGGGAAAGUGCCUGAUGGAGGGGGAUAACUACUGGAAACGGUAGCUAAUACCGCAUACCAUCAGAUGUGCCCAGAUGGGAUUAGCUUGUUGGUGGGGUAACGGCUAACCAAGGCGACGAUCCCUAGCUGGGCUGAGAUGAUGACCAGCCACACUGGAUCUGAGACACGGUCCAGACUCCUACGGGAGUCAGCAGUGGGGAAUAUUGCACAAUGGGCGCAAGCCUGAUGCAGCCAUGCCGCGUGUAUGAAGAAGGCCUUCGGGUUGUAAAGCACUUUCAGCGAGGAGGCGUUACUCGCAGAAGAAGCACCGGCUAACUCCGUGCCAGCCGCCGCGGUAAUAC
RNAcentral lists this ribosomal RNA (406 nucleotides) under uncultured bacterium. RNAcentral describes it as "partial 16S ribosomal RNA". It matches the Rfam family "Bacterial small subunit ribosomal RNA", at positions 30 to 526 of the family's 1533-position model. The record is from RNAcentral.